Molecule: long non-coding RNA, 410 nt
Filed under: Salvia miltiorrhiza (redroot sage)
Lineage: Eukaryota; Viridiplantae; Streptophyta; Magnoliopsida; Lamiales; Lamiaceae
Description: long non-coding RNA (SMIL_LNC002376)
Source: RNAcentral
AAAGAACAUGGAAUGAAUUUAUGUAUUAAUCAAUGCAUACAUAUCCCACAUAGCGACAUAAAACCUUGUAGUCUCACGUUCAGAAUUUACGGCGACCAAGAGAAUGCAAAGAUUGCUAACAAAAUCCUCACUAUAAAUUGGACUAUCAAGCAAUCGAGGGCCGUCAAAUAUUCACGAAUGCAAUUAGAUAUAAAUUCCAACAUCAGAACAUGAUAAAAUCCAUCACCCCAAAAAGGCUUUCAUAUCAACGAUAAUCGAAAACAUGAGAUUGUAAAACGGAAAUUGAAACAAAAAUUCCAGAAAAAAACCAUAAAAAGAAAAAAAAAUACAAACCUUGAUUGAAGGUACUCAUUGCUUCAGUAGUUUGCCGCUUGAAAUCGACGACACACAACCCCGACGCCUGAAAAUAU